This 443-nucleotide ribosomal RNA is filed under the name uncultured bacterium. RNAcentral's name for it is "partial 16S ribosomal RNA". It matches the Rfam family "Bacterial small subunit ribosomal RNA", at positions 338 to 795 of the family's 1533-position model. The record is from RNAcentral.
CCUACGGGAGGCUGCAGUGGGGGAUAUUGGACAAUGGGGGAAACCCUGAUCCAGCGACGCCGCGUGAGUGAAGACGUAUCUCGGUAUGUAAAGCUCUAUUAGCAGGGAAGAAAGAAAUGACGGUACCUGAGUAAGAAGCCUCGGCUAACUACGUGCCAGCAGCCGCGGUAAUACGUCGGGGGCAAGCGUUAUCCGGAAUUACUGGGUGUAAAGGGAGCGUAGACGGUAAUGCAAGUCUGGAGUGAAAGGCGGGGGCCCAACCCCCGGACUGCGCGGGCAACUGUGUAACUGGAGUGCAGGGGAGGCAGGCGGAAGUCCUGGUGUAGCGGUGAAAUGCGUAGAUAUUAGGAGGAACACCAGUGGCGAAGGCGGCCUGCGGGAGUGUAACUGACGUUGAGGCUCGAAGGCGUGGGGAGCGAACAGGAUUAGAUACCCUGGUAGUC